Long non-coding RNA from Suricata suricatta (meerkat), 169 nucleotides. RefSeq lists it as uncharacterized. The record is from RefSeq and is a predicted model, not a curated record. The transcript has 2 exons. Lineage: Eukaryota; Metazoa; Chordata; Mammalia; Carnivora; Herpestidae.
CUGACCACUUUCCCUUUCACACUAUGUACUCUUAAAUUUACUCAGAGAAAUCUUGGAGGGGAAUGAGAUGCAUCUUCUCUGAAUAGAAGUUAAAAAUGUUCAUCAGAAGUUAUCCAACAUACAUCAAAAUGUGUACCCUACAAUGAAAUAAAGCAAAAUGGCAUACAAA